Molecule: long non-coding RNA, 2295 nt
Organism: Rattus norvegicus (Norway rat)
Lineage: Eukaryota; Metazoa; Chordata; Mammalia; Rodentia; Muridae
Source: RefSeq, a predicted model, not a curated record
AAACUGCAGCACACCAACAGAAGUUUUUUUUGGUGCAUUUCUCUCUAUGGAGUCCCAACAAACGCAACUCAACUACACAAUGUAAGGUGGACCAAUACAAGUGUGUGGUUAGCAAAGAACCCUUCAUCACAUGUCCUUUCGUGUGCUUGCUUAAGCAGAACAUCUGUUCGCCUCUGUCUGCUGCAGCUAAACAUUCCUUCAUGUGUUUGCUUCGGCAAAACAUCAUCCAACCAACUUUCCAAAGAACCCUUAAGUUCAGAGACAUGUCUCACCUUGUAUAUUUUUCUAAUUGGGGUCCUCUUCCCUACACAACAUUAUUAGUCUUGGUGUCCAAUUUCAGAAUCUCAAGUUCGCAUUUGCUAUGAUUUACCUAAGAAUCCUUCAAAGCCCAUGUGUUAAAGGUGUGGUCCCCAGUUCACAGUGCUUUGGAGAAGUCAUAGAACCUUUAAGAAGUAGACACUAGUAGGGGUUCAUCCAUUGGGCAGAUGUAAUCGUAAGGGGGAAAUACAGGAACUUUAGUUCCUUCUUUCAAGUUCCUGCCAUGAGCUGAGUAGUUUUGCUGCCCGCUACCACCAUGAUUACAGCAACAGAGAGCUGGCUGAUGAAGCACGUCUGUAGCACAUGAUUCCAUUCUUAUAUGAAGGCUAUGAAGCUCAUCAAAUUGGGAGACAGGUAUGAAAUAUGAGGCUGCUUCAAAUUGUCCACAGCAGCUGACUAUGAUUUGUCUCAUGCUCUGGCAGGGAUGUGAUAAUGCCAGAUGAAGAUAGUUUACAUUUGGAAUUCUGGGGACUCUUCUGGGGGAAUAAAAAUGAUGCAGCAAAGUGAGGGGCUGCUCCCUCUGUUGCUCCUCCUGCUGCUCCUCUUACUGACAGCAGUGGUGAUGGUUACUGUUUGCUGGAUUGCUGGAUUGCUGGAUUGCUGGAUUGCUGGAUUGCUAGAUUGCUGGAUUGCUGGAUUGCUGGAUUGCUGGUUGAAGAUAUCCUGACAAAGAAGAUUGGACUUGCCCCAAGUAACUCCAUUACCCUAAUCAGCAGGAAGUAGUCUAAGGAGAUCCGUACCCCCAAUCUUUCCCCUCUAACCUUCUUUCUCUCCUACCUAGUAUGGGGGGGGGAUAUGUAAGGGAUUACAAUAGAGAAUGGUGGUAGAUAUAAGACCCCAGUAAAGUAGCUGAAAGGUACAGGUACAACUAAGAACUCUGUGGUCAAAAAUACAAGGAUUCCUAUGGACUAGCUAAUCUCUGUUCUUCUGAAACAGCCACAAGUACAUGAAACAUUGGCCUGAAUUCUAAUCUUAAUUCAGCCAUUACGUAUGACAGUCCCUACAGGGACUCAUUUUCCUCAACUGAAGUCUUGGUCUGGGAUGCUUCUCAGUGAUAAGGGAGCACUGGAAAAAAAAAAAAAAAAAAAAAAAAAACCUAACUAAUCUCCAGCACGUGGAAAAAUAACUGUGUCAGGUAAGUACUAAUCUGUUUUGGAAAAAUCAAUCAUCAAUAAGCAAAUAAGUCACUCAAUGAUUAUAUUACCUACAAUCAAUUAUUACUUUGUGUUAUCAGCGUAAUCAUUCACUGUCAAAAUGUCCCUACCGAGGGGACUUGUUUGACUCACUUUGGUCAUUUUCCUUGUAUACAAGAAUAUAACAAAACCGAUAUGCUUGUGAUUGAUUUCUUCCCUUUAGGGGCUGGGUAUAACAUCCGGGGACUUGGACGUGCCAAACAUGCACUCUACUCUUAGGCCUUGAAUUAUUUUAAACGUAUCUUUAUUAUUGUUUUAUUUAUUGUGCUUACUCAUGUAUUGUGGGGGCACACCACACACACACAUUGUGCACACAUUCUGUGAAACCAGAGUCGAGUCACCACUACACUGUGGUUAAGGAGCCACAUUGUUGUUAGAUCCCCAUACCCUACAAGAAUAGGUUUCCAUUGCUAGUUAAGAAUCUGUUUCUGUUUUGUACUUGCAAUGAAAUUGUGACCCCAUGGUGUAGGAUUUCCCUUUGCCUUCUUUUCAUGAUACCUUGAUCUAUACCUGUGCCCACCUACCCCAUAAUGUAUGACUCUCUUUGCACAUGGCAAAUAUCCUUGCUUUUAUUCUUACUUUUUUUUGUAAUUUUUUUCUAGCAGCCAAUUAUCUUGCCCUAUAAACACCCUUCCAGCUGUUUUCUAUUGCCCAUAGCUCCUCCACCCCUGUAAAAGAGACCUCAAAAAGCCAGUAAGAGGCUGAUCUCUCAAAUCGCAACACGUGAGGCAGCCAGCUGGCCAGUUCUAGGUGCACUUCAAAAAUAAAGCUUGCUUUAAUCGGA